UACGAACUGUGCGAACGUUAUUCGGAAUCACUGGGCUUAAAGGGUGCGUAGGCGGUUUGCUAAGUCAGGUGUGAAAGCCCUCGGCUCAACCGGGGAACAGCGCUUGAAACUAGCGGACUAGAGUGAGGUAGGGGUGUACGGAACUUCCAGUGGAGCGGUGAAAUGUGUAGAUAUUGGAAGGAACGCCGGCGGCGAAAGCGGUACACUGGGCCUUGUCUGACGCUGAGGCACGAAAGCCAGGGGAGUGAACGGG
RNAcentral lists this ribosomal RNA (253 nucleotides) under uncultured bacterium. RNAcentral describes it as "partial 16S ribosomal RNA". It matches the Rfam family "Bacterial small subunit ribosomal RNA", at positions 524 to 776 of the family's 1533-position model. The record is from RNAcentral.